UGGAAACACUUGGAUAAGCUAACAGCAGCAUGAAUCAAUUUCGACAACCGAGAUGCUCAGUGGUCGGCUGCAUAAAUCAGCACAAAUGUCUUCAUGUGACUCCAGCUUCAGAAGACACAAGAUUGAGAUGGAUUGAGUUCAUAUAUGAUGGCAACGUUCCUGCCACCACUUUGAAUAGGACUGUUUUAUCAACCUGGGUCAAUAUAACGCUGGAUUCUCUAAAAGGUUGUUAUUGAAAGAGGGGUCGGUGCCAUCUUUCCAUCGCAAUACUGAAGACGAGGGAAAUGCAAGCACAUCUGUUCACGGUGCUAGGCUACAUCACGUAGCAUGCCAGACGGACCCACCACAGAUGCGCACACAUGGAACGCAGCUUUCUAUGAAAACACUGCGACCUCACUACAAAAGUACAGGCACACAGAAAACUGUGCUGCACUGAUGUUGGUGUUGGGACCUCAGCUGUAAGAGACCUCGUUUGGAGAGGACAACCCAAGUUGUUCAAGUAUGGACUUCGGAGAGCCACAGGAUGCUGCCUAUGAUCCUGAUGACUCAAUCACAGUCUUGACUGAGUCAGCAGAUGUGACAUUACGUGGAUAACCUGUUGGACCUCAUCUUUCACGAGGUUUUUCAGGACCCGGCCCCAUAUGUGAAUGAGGUGCUGAAGAUCUCAAAACCUGAGGACCUCUCUGCUAAGUAUGAGAAACCUGACAAGCAGGAAGUUAUAGCCAGCUAUGUGUCGAGUUUCAAUCAAGGGCAGGUCUGAACCCUGUAUAACUUCCCUGCGCAUCAGGGAACACUCUGGUUAUCUGGAGCACCGAGCAGGAGGGCAGGACCACCCUGAUUCUCCGGCCCAGGUGGCCUCAUAACCAGCUCACAAAGCUUCUGUACGCCAAAUACCUGUAACAGCUGAGCAAAGUUUACAUUGUAUUUAGAGAAUAAAGGUGACACACAAAUAUAAAGUGUUCCUUUGUUUACAGUAUGGCUACUGAUGGCACAAAUUGUAUUUUUGUAAUCAAUGUUUUCAUUAUACUUGGUAUUUUUUGUAUUUAUUACCUCUGUCCCAGCCAGUACAUUUAAUAACUAUUUUUAAAAAGCUCUGUGGCAUUCUUUCUAGCAAUCUUUCUGACAAUAAAAGUUUAUAGAAA
Pleuronectes platessa (European plaice) is the source of this 1142-nucleotide long non-coding RNA. RefSeq lists it as uncharacterized. The transcript has 4 exons. The record is from RefSeq and is a predicted model, not a curated record. NCBI's taxonomy places the organism in Eukaryota, Metazoa, Chordata, Actinopteri, Pleuronectiformes, Pleuronectidae.